This is a long non-coding RNA of Oreochromis niloticus (Nile tilapia), 939 nucleotides long. RefSeq lists it as uncharacterized. The transcript has 3 exons. The record is from RefSeq and is a predicted model, not a curated record. NCBI's taxonomy places the organism in Eukaryota, Metazoa, Chordata, Actinopteri, Cichliformes, Cichlidae.
UCCUUGAAUUUGCAAUGUUCCUAAUAGCCAGCAGGAGGGGUUCCUUCUCUGGCUGCAAAAAGAUCUGCUCACUUGAUCCAUAACCUCAGUAAAAUUCAUGAUAAGUGUCUCAGUCGCUAGUUUUAAAUCUUUUUCAAUAUGACAUGAUGUUAAUUUUAAAAUUUACUGCCCCAGUUUGAGUCUAAACCGAUGGCUGCACGUGUGUGGUACGUGAUGGUAUGAUGGACUGCCAACUGAUGAGGACGUGUUAAGAGAUUCACUGACUGACUAGCCAAGGACAUGAAUUGGAUGAUUUCCAGUGCUCAGGCCUGACGGGUGACCAGCUGUCAACCUCACAUACAAUAUACAAUUAUGUACCGGUCUGUUUUACGCAUGCGCAGCGCACAGCGGGGCAGGCUAAUACUUGCACCCGGACUCACUGCCACACGUUAGCAGCCCUUAGCUGCGAGUGAAGACAGUGUUUUUAAAAGUAAACUGCAAGGAGACCACCAUGAAAAGUGACAAGCUGUGACGGUGACGCUGAUCAGCACAUUAUUGGAGGGAUACGGCGAUGUAACAUAAGCUUGUGCGACUGCGUUGGCAGAGAGUCGCGUGUGGCAUGCUGUGUGUGUGUGUGUGUGUGUGUGGGUGUGUCUGUGUGCUGUCACGGUAAAAUCAAUACCGGGUGAAAAGCAAAUGGAAAAACUCGAGCAAGUUUGUGGAGUUCAGCCUCAAACGUUUACCGAAAUGUGGCGAAUUUCGAGUCAAUUUCAUGGACUGCUGGUGUGGCACUGUGAAUUCAUUUGAGAUUAUAAGGAAAACACAAGAUUAACAGGGAACUUUCACAACACACACACAUAUGCACAAACACACACUAUCUGUAUGAAACACAUCAUACAGUGAAAGAGUGAUCAUUACUUUACUGGUUAGACAAUUAGUUUUGUUAUUUUCAAAUCUUCA